Pogona vitticeps (central bearded dragon) is the source of this 789-nucleotide non-coding RNA. NCBI's taxonomy places the organism in Eukaryota, Metazoa, Chordata, Lepidosauria, Squamata, Agamidae. The record is from RefSeq and is a predicted model, not a curated record.
UUCCCCCUCCUCCCCCCUCCUCCUUUGUCAAACCUUAAGUCAACAAUGGAGUGGCUUGGGUCACAAAGAAGCCCAUCCUGUUUCACCAGGUGAUGUUACCGAGGCAACCUCUUAAAAGGUGAUGGUGGGCUGGGUUGGCAGAAGAAAAAGGUAAUUGACAUCAGGAAACAAUCCUUUUUCCUCCUGGCCAAGGAGGAGAGAGAAAUAGAGAGGAGAGAGGUGGGGCAUCCUGAAGCCCCCAGAAAUAUGGUCUGAGUUAUAUUAGCAAGCUCCGGGGUCCAGGCGGCAGCCAGAAUGGGGGCUUGCUUCGGGUGCUGUUGUCAAAGUGAGGACGAAGUCUGGCAGGAGAAGACAAGCCAACCAAGGUUCAUCCCAAGGAGACCCCCUCCCACCCAUAGCUUUUCUUUCAGAGAGGAGCCCGUGAGAACAUGAAGAUAAGACACUGCACGGAGCCCAGCCCUUCUGGAAGGAGGAUCCUUCCCUUUGAGAAGACCACACUGUCGCUCCAUCUUUGCAUCAUCACAGGUGGCCAUGAAGACAACUUUGCAAACUCCUCUUUCGGAAGGAGACGAAGGAGUCUGACUCCUACCCACCCUCCCGCCCUUAGCUGUGACACUGAUGGAGACCAAUGUUGAAAUUACAAAGUCUUAGAGUGGGAACGCACUGCAUUCCUUCAGCCGAAAUGCUCAAUUGUCGGUUGUCUUUCGCGACAGGUGAGAGGACACCAGCUUCUCCAAACACCUCUCUCCACCUUCCACCCCAAAAAUAAAUUUAAAAAAAGAAUCAACA